RNAcentral lists this ribosomal RNA (427 nucleotides) under uncultured Oxalobacteraceae bacterium. Its description in RNAcentral is "bacterial SSU rRNA". It matches the Rfam family "Bacterial small subunit ribosomal RNA", at positions 353 to 772 of the family's 1533-position model. The record is from RNAcentral. Lineage: Bacteria; Pseudomonadati; Pseudomonadota; Betaproteobacteria; Burkholderiales; Oxalobacteraceae.
AGUGGGGAAUUUUGGACAAUGGGGGAAACCCUGAUCCAGCAAUGCCGCGUGUGUGAAGAAGGCCUUCGGGUUGUAAAGCACUUUUGGCAGGAACGAAACAGCGCGGGCUAAUACCUCGCGCGAAUGACGGUACCUGCAGAAUAAGCACCGGCUAACUACGUGCCAGCAGCCGCGGUAAUACGUAGGGUGCGAGCGUUAAUCGGAAUUACUGGGCGUAAAGCGUGCGCAGGCGGUUUUGCAAGACAGAUGUGAAAUCCCCGGGCUUAACCUGGGAACUGCAUUUGUGACUGCAAGGCUAGAGUGUGUCAGAGGGAGGUGGAAUUCCACGUGUAGCAGUGAAAUGCGUAGAGAUGUGGAGGAACACCGAUGGCGAAGGCAGCCUCCUGGGAUAACACUGACGCUCAAGCACGAAAGCGUGGGGAGCAAA